GACGAACGCUGGCGGCGUGCUUAACACAUGCAAGUCGAACGGAAAGGCCCUGCUUUUGUGGGGUGCUCGAGUGGCGAACGGGUGAGUAACACGUGAGUAACCUGCCCUUGACUUUGGGAUAACUUCAGGAAACUGGGGCUAAUACCGGAUAGGAGCUCCUGCUGCAUGGUGGGGGUUGGAAAGUUUCGGCGGUUGGGGAUGGACUCGCGGCUUAUCAGCUUGUUGGUGGGGUAGUGGCUUACCAAGGCUUUGACGGGUAGCCGGCCUGGGAGGGUGACCGGCCACCUUGGGACUGCGAGACGGCGCAGACUCGUACGGGAGGCAGCAGUGGGGAAUAUGACACAGUGGGCGGGCGCCUGAUGCAGCAGCGCCGGGUGCGGGAUGACGGCCUGCGGGUUGUAAACCGCUUUCGCCUGUGACGAAGCGGGAGUGACGGUAAUGGGUAAAGAAGCACCGGCUAACUACGUG
RNAcentral lists this ribosomal RNA (468 nucleotides) under uncultured bacterium. RNAcentral describes it as "partial 16S ribosomal RNA". It matches the Rfam family "Bacterial small subunit ribosomal RNA", at positions 28 to 507 of the family's 1533-position model. The record is from RNAcentral.